UCUACAAAAUACAGUAAACACCUUACAUCAUCUAAGGAGUUCAUGCCACUCAUUUUUCAAGUUCAAAAAAAGAACACCAAAUGAAUAUCCAUUACAAGAUUUUACCGAUUUUUAUGAAGUAAUCAGCCCAAACGAUACCCUUAAACUCCCUCAUCACGUUCUCGGUUCCAUUGCUCAAUUCUCGCCCUCCUUUCCUCGCUUCCUUCUCUCACAUUUCGUGGGCUUCUGCUCCGUUUCGGGCUUCCAUGUCUCCUCCUUCCACCACCAUCCCGAUCAUGCCUCUCUGAUCUAUCACUGCUCCUUUUCCCAUUUCCAUGCCGGUCACGGUCCCUAACGUCCCCUCUCUCUCGCUCUCGCGAAUGCUCUCUCUUACGUCGAGGGCUUAUACUCCUGCUUCGACUUCUGCUUCCCCGACGGUAUGAACGACGAUACCUCCCAAACAAUUUCCUCCUAAGCUCCCUCGAAAUCUGCUUCACAUGCAUGAAAUUACAGUACCCACCACGGUUACAGCUGUUUUCUUCAUACUGCCUACAAGUAGCUUCCCUAAAAUCCGUCACAGGAGAGAAAUCAGCAAUGAUAGGACGACCGGAAUAAAAUCUCCCCUGCAAAGCCUGCAACGCAGCAGCUGCGUGAUCCUCCUCCUUAAACAGAACAUACACAUUCCCAAUCAUAUGAUCAGCAAGAUUGUCACAAACAUUGAGACUCUCCACUUCACCAAACUUGUUGAGUUCUUCGAAAAUAUCUUCGUAGAAAUCCUCAAAGUGGUCUUGGAUCUUACUCGGGUCUAACGGCUGUCCCUGAGGAUCCACACCUGGAGUUAUCAUGUCAGGUCUCUGGUACAUGUUCGAGAGGAGAAGCGUCGGCGAGAUGGUGGGACGGUUAUG
Arabidopsis thaliana (thale cress) is the source of this 884-nucleotide long non-coding RNA. RefSeq annotates it as other RNA. The record is from RefSeq. Lineage: Eukaryota; Viridiplantae; Streptophyta; Magnoliopsida; Brassicales; Brassicaceae. The transcript has a single exon.